Long non-coding RNA from Peromyscus leucopus (white-footed mouse), 7093 nucleotides. RefSeq lists it as uncharacterized. Lineage: Eukaryota; Metazoa; Chordata; Mammalia; Rodentia; Cricetidae. The transcript has 3 exons. The record is from RefSeq and is a predicted model, not a curated record.
UUAUUUUGCCCAGACAGCUUUGCAUGCAAAUAUUCACUGACAUGAGCAGCUGGUCUGGACCAAGGUUUCUGGUUUCUGAACAUAAGUACUGGACCAUCACUGAAGUUCGUCUUGGAUAUUCUGCUGUUGCCAGAGUCAUGGUGACUCUGUAGCUCCGGUUCUGCAGGACUGGCUCCUUCUAAUGUUCCACCACUCAAAUCUGUUGGGGUGGACCUACGGAAAGUGCUGGAUCUGGGCCCAGCUGAGUUGGUGAGCCGGUGGCAGGCCUGGCCUUGUGGUUAGUGGGGCCUGGGCUCUAUAGCUGGAUCUUAUGUAGGUAUUUCCUCAGUUGAGGCUCCCUCCUCUCAGAUGACUCUAGCUUGUGUCAAGUUGACAUAAAACUAGCCAGGACUUUUUUUCACACUUUUAAGACAGAAUUCCAAUAUGAGUGCCUUCAUCAAUUGUCCUUGAUAUCUGGCUGUCCCUUGCCACAAACCUAAGCUGGAUUAAUGGUCUUAUCUGAUAUUUCUAAUCCUCAGAGCUCACAAGUGUCAUUUUUCUUCACAGUCUGGAGAGCAAUGUGUUUUCUAUGUGUUUUUACCUCUUCUCCUAUCUUCUUUUGGAUGUGAGGAUUCCUAGUAUAGCACACCUAGAAGUUAUUUAAUACAUUUGUUAUUUUAGUACUAAAAUAAAGGUAAACAUGUUUUCCCCUGACUUUUAUGAUUUUUCCUCCUGAUUUUUAAUGUUAUUUAUCAUAAUACCCAAAUGCCUCAUUCACGGUUGGUGUUUAAUACAUACUUUAUGGUUGACAAAGUUUAUAGAUGCUGUUCUCAUGGAGCAUGGUCUUUGGUAAAAUGAUCACACUGGGGAGAAAAAGUUCCUAAGGUUUAAAUAUGGAGAAAGAUGGCUACGAGAAAAGCUUCACGAGUGAGGUUGUCUGGAAACCCCAUUAGCAUUCUAACCAGCUUUGAUAUUGUAGGUCACACCCUGAGUGUGUGAGCUAAGAAGAUGACCUAGGUCACCCCGAAAUGUUCACAUACUAUGUAAUGAGAUGGUGUUGACCUGGUGCAGAAGACUGGCAACUUAAAGAGAACCCAAAGCACCAGCAUCAGCAUCAAAUAUCUUCCCAGUAGGAAGAGGCCCGUGAAUCCUCACCAGAUGCUAUGACCUUCAUUUCAUGCCAGCUCUCCUCCAUGUUUGAGCCCCCACUCAUUCUGUUCUUCCCACCCACAGUGUUCUUACUUUUCCCAUUGCCUGCCUGGCCUCCUCUCCCCUCCUCCCUCCAGGGCCCACAUCCCACUUCUUUGUUUGGAUUUCUCUGUACCACUGUUCCCUGAAAUCAUCACCACACCACACUUCCGUGUGUAAUCUCACUCCUCCAGUAUUAAAUGUGCCUUGAAUUGCUUUUAGUGAUGAGAUGUUUUUGAAAGGCUCUUCUGAUGUCCUGUUAGGUACCAGCACUAGAAAAAGGUAAACGUGGGGUAAAACUGUUGUUGGUGGUGCCAUGGAGGAAGUUUCCAGGCUGGUUUCCUCUAGAAGAAGACUCAGACUAUGCGUAAAGCCUUUCCUGUGACUCUGAAGGGCUAGUAGGGGUUCUUUGUGCAUUUUUCCCACCUUUCUGGCACUAGUUGAUAUUGGACCUGAGCUUGGGGUGGAGUGGGCGAAGAUUGGUAAGGAUCAAUUUGGGAGCUGCGACCCUUCCCCCUUUAACCACACAGGGCUCAUCUCUGAUGGUUUGGUGUGCUGCCUCUUGAACAGAGCCUGCCGCUGGCAUUAGCAAUGCUGCUUCCACCUCACUUGGACUGAUUCCUUUGCUUCAAACCCAGCUACCUGCACUCCAAUAGCUUCCCACUGGGAGGAUCUGUCUGCUGCCGCUGUUUCCCAGCAACCCCCAGCUUUGCCAUGCCACUCAAGCUUUAUACCAGGUCAUCCUUAACACUUUCUCACCUGUCCUCCCAGGCAGAGUCGAGGCAUGCCUGUCAGUGAGACACACUCUCCACCUUCUGGCAGAUGGAGUCGCCAAGAGCAACCUUCAUGGAGGCGUGCCAGGGAGCCUGACAGGGAGAUUCCCUGACUACAGCUCCUUAGGCAGGUGCUGAAGAUGACAGAUUUGCUGAGUGGAGGCCCUCUCUGCUGCUGGAGGGGUGGGCUCGAAUGCACGAUUUUCACCCCAAGGGUCACUGCACUGUCAGGAAGCCUUAGCUUCUCUAAUAUUUCCUUAAGCAGUUAUUCCUAGAUCUGAUGCCACUCCCCUCCCCCAAGGUUGUUGUCUUAGUCGUGGUUUCCAUUGCUGUGAUAAAGCACUAUGACCAAAAAAAGUUGUCAAGAAAAGGAAUUAUUUCAUCUUAUUCUUAUAGUCCAUCAUGAAAGGAAUCCAGGGCAGGAACUCAAGGCAGGAACCUUGAGGCAGGAACUGAAGCAAGGGUCAUAGAGGAACACUGCUCACUGGCGUACUCCUCAUGCUUGAUCAGCCUGGUUGUUUGUUUGUUUGUUUUAAUAUACCCCAGGUGUUUCCUGCUUUGGGAUGGUAUCACCCACUGUGAGUUGGGCCCUCUCACAUCAAUCAUUAAUCAAGAAAAUGUACCACAGAUUUAUCUCCAGGCUAAUCUGCUGGGGUCAUUUUAUCAAUUGAGGUUCUCUCUUUCAAAAUUACUCUGGUUUGUGUUAAGUUGACAUAAAACUAUCCAGCACAGCCCUUUGGGGCAGAAAAUUAUCAUCUGUUCCUUUUGUGAUUCCUUUACUGAGGGUAGCUUUUACUCCCUUUAGCUGUGGCAUUCAGUUUAUUUUAACUGAGUUGAUGAGGUUGUAACUGGGAGGAGGAGAGGCUUACAUAGUUGUCAGAGGUUGUAGUAUGAACGGCUAGCAUGUUUUCUGUCCAUCUCCUUCUAGUGUGUGGAUCCUGGGGAUUGAACUUGGGUUGUCAGGCUCAAUGGCAAGUCUCUUAUCUCUUGGACCAUCUAUCUUAUAGGCCCCACUAUACUGAUUUUUAUCAUGGUAUUCCUAGUGUUUAACAUUUUUAUGUUCUUUGAGUAAACUCUAUUUAUGAUACAAUGAUGCAUUUUUUAUAGUAUUCUGUAUAUUCUCCUUACUGGUAUUUUAUAGGAAUAUUUUGUAGAUGUUUCACAAGUAAUGUUGGUCUGUAGGUUUGUUUAUAUGGCAUCUUGUAAUGUCAAUGCUAUAAUAUACUCUAUAACGUUAUAUAUUAAAAAGAAUGGUUUAAAAUAACUUAAUAAAUACAGUGAUUAUAUGAAACAUAGAAGAUCAACAUGAUCAUUCCUGGGACAUCUAGACAAUUGAAGACUCACUACCCAUUUUUGGCAUUUGUAUGAUAGCUUCAGUUUAGCUUCUAGUGGGUGUUUAUGGCAAGCACAAGCGUUUUGCUUUUUAUUGCACAUUUGUAUUCUUACUGAUACUAUAAUUACUUUUGUUGACUUAUUUUAAUUGGUGCAUACAAUUGUACAUAUCUGGAGCUGGAAGCGUGACUAAGUUAGUAAAGUAUUUGACUUGCAACUGUGAGGCCUGACUGAGUUCAGGCCUCAGUUACCACAUAAAAAUGUCAGGUGUGAUGGCACCUGCUGGUAAUCCUAGUGCUGGAGAGGCAGAGGCAGGAGGGUCCCUGGGCUCUCUGACCAUCCAGUCCAGCCUAACUGAUGAACUCCAGGCUAAUGAGAGACCCACUCCUGAUGGCAUUUCUGAUGAUGACUCCUGAGGGCUCUCCUUUGACCUCCAUGUAUUUGUGCAUAUACAUGCAUACACACAUGUACCCACAACGUGCAUAGGAAAUUGUGUGUGUUUCUAAAAUAUCAUGUGAUGUUUUAACGCAUGCAUGAACUGUGUAGUGCUCAAAGCAAGGUAAACAAAUUGCUAUCUUCUGCCGAGUCUUUAUUUAAACAGUCGAUUGUAGAAAUUACUGAGUGUCCACCCAAGUCCAGUUUUCCUUCUUUUAGUGAACAUUGCUUUUGCCAGCCUGAUUGAAAGCUAGGCCCAGCCAUGUGACUGCUUUCAAAUAAUGACUAGUAAUGGAAUCGAUGUACACCAGUUUUAGCCUAAGCUUUGACAGCUUCCCAUGCCCUUCUUGUAAAUCAGCUUUUGUUCCAGGUUGGCACUUGUGGCUAGGCAACUGAAAAAUGCCACUUCUCUGCUCCCUUCAGGAUUAUGAGGAGAAUGCCAGAAGACAAUGUGAAAAGAAAACAGGCAGGAAAAAAAUCAGAAUGAUCAAAACCAAGGCUGUUAUCAUUCUUAUAGGAAAUGAGUAACGGAAUCUGGUUUGAGGAGGGCCUCCUGCUUUCACUUGUUAAUUCAUGCCUUGGAGAAAAUUCUGCACUUCUGUAAGCCACAGUUUCACUUAUGAUGAGGACAAUAACUACACUAUGGAGUUGUUGGAGAAAAGAAAACGUGAGAUAGCACGUCUAAAACUCGGCACACAUGCUGACCCUCACUAAGGUAUGCAGUAAGAAGGACCAGAUCCUAUUUUGAUCAGGGUAGACUUGAACAUUCUAGAGAAAUGCUUUCUAAUUCCAUGUCUGUUAUGACCAGUGUUAGUUAAGUGGCAUAAUAUACUGAAAAGAGAAUUGGAAUCAGAUUAUCUGAGGUUUAAAUUGCAUUUACUUAUUUACUUGCUUACUUUAUUUGUGUGUCUGUGUGUUUGGGUGUGCACACAUAAACACUAGAAUGCCAUGCAGAGGUCAACGGACAAGUUGUGGGAGUGUGCUCCUUAACUCCAUCAUGUGGGUUUUCAGGGAGGAACUCAGAUUUUCCGGAUUGGCAGCAACUCCCUUUACCCACUGUACACGGUGCUCUCACGGACCCAGGUUACCCAGAUUUUAUUCCCGCAUUUCCUAUGUGUUAGCCAAUAGAUGACUCUUAACGCGGCAUCCGACCUGCCUUGCCCGGUCCGUUUAUCUGAAGAAUAAAUGAUAAAUGCUGCCUGUCUGCACUACAGUGCUGCUGAGUAGUUCAGAGGUGAAAAUGCAGUUUAAACUGCAGGGCAAUUGCAGACCACUGAUACCUAAGGGUUAUGCCAAAAGCGGUGUGGCAGAGUGUUUCCUGUCAAGAAACUCUUUGGGGGAUAGUGUCCGUAUGGCCCACGAGUGUGUGUGCACCAUAGUCUUUUUGGUACCCACCACUAAUGUAGAGUCUGUGCAUGAAUGGAGUAGCCUGCAGCACUUUCGUAGGUAAUGUACCACGUUCUCCUCCCUCAUUCUCUCUUGUCGUCAACCUCUUUCACUCCCUCACUUUCUAUUCCCAAACAGCCUCUUCCUAUCUUUAUGUCUUUUUAAGUAUCGAGAGUCCACAUCUGAAAGCAAGAUAAUUUCAUUCUCUAGAGUCAAACAAUCUUCAUUGUUUCCACACGGCAUGUUUUCUUUAUCCAUCCAUCUGUUGAUGCUCACCUGGGCUGCUUCCAACUUGGCCACUGUGAAAAGGCUGUGUGAAACCAGGCGCAGGGAUCCCCGUGGUGCACUGACUUCGGCUGUUUUGGGAACAUACCCAGGAGCAGUAUGGAUGGAUAAUAUGGCAGUUUUGUUUUCGUUGGCUGGGAAAACCUCCAUACUGGUCCCCAGUCGCCAUCCCCGUUUACACACCCACCAGCAGUGUGUAAAGGUCUUCUUUUCUCUGCACUCUCAUCAGUAUUUGUUGUUUUCUGUUUUCCCGAUCACAGCUCUUCUGACUGAGGUGAGGUGAUGCUAGCUAUACAUUCAAUCUGCAAUUCCCAAUAGCUAAGGAUGGUGUGAAAACGUUCAUGUAUUGAUUGGACAUUGUAUUUCUCUGAGAAGCAUCUGCUCAGUUCAUUGGCCUGUUUAUCGUUUGGGUUAUUUGUUCUUUUGAUGGGUAAUUUUUUUUUCAUUUGUUUGUUUUAGACAUUAGUCCUCCAUUUGGGUGGAUAGCUAUCUAAGAUCUCCCUUUCUGCAAGCUGUCUAGAUUCUGGAAACCGUGUCUAAGAUGCACAGAAGCUCUUUAAUUUGACACUACUCGAAUCCUACGCAGAACGUCUUGGCCCCGGUGCCUAUAUAACCUGGAGUACUUUCCCCUGCCAGUUUCAGGGUUCAGAUCUGCAUUAAGAUCUUUGAUCUAUUUGAAUCUAUUUUUGUAUAGAGUAAGAGACAGGGACCUAGUUUCAUUCUCUCAUGUGUGAAUACCCAGUUUCCCCAGAACUAUUUAUAAAAGAGUCUGGCUUUUCUCCAACAUGGCUCCUGUCUCUUUGUCCAGAGUUAUGUAGCUUCAUCAGUUUCUUUCCGGGUCCUCUGUUCUAUUCCAUUGAUCUACACUGUGCUCCCUCUACUCCUUGGAGGUACCCGUAUCUCAGAGAUCUCUCUGUCUCUGCCUCUGUCCCCACACCCCCUGCCUCUGGUUCAGAUAAUUUUUUCUUUGAUGACUUUUCUAGUUUUUUUCCCCUACCACUUAGCUCUCCUUUGCUGACCUCAAUCAGUAAAUAGAAAUGCCAGCAAACAUCCUAAUGACCAUGGAAUGCUUCUGCAUUUGAACAGAAAAUAAAAAAUUUAUUUGCCUAGCAAGCUAUUCCCAGGCCCUCUGAAUAUCAUCACCAAUUUGUAAGUAGAAAUGAUUUGUAUUAAUAUUAACAUGCAAGUGAGAGUAAUUCUAAGUGCCGGCUUCCUCAAAUGCGGCAUCUUGGCUGUCUUCAUGAUCCUGUCUUCUUUUUGCUCCUGCUAGUUCUGGUAAAGUCUCAUUACUAAUAGUGUGCAUCUGAUGUCAUUCUUGAUGGAGACAGGCUGCAUGCUUCUUCCUAGCACCAGGAACACCUUUUUCUUUCAACAUUGUCCCAAAUGUUCUAGACAGUGUUUUAAAGCAAGAGGUAGUCACAUUGGAAAGAAGUGAGCAGAAUUAUUUAAUUCGAUAUAAUAUUGUAAUAUAUGUGAAAAAUAUAAAACCGUCUACCAAAAUAGUUUCUUCAUAUAAUUACCAGGCCAGAGGAUUGUAUGGGGCCAAUAUGAAAAGGCAAAUGUAUUUCUAUAUACCAACAAUCAGCCAUGUUAUAUAUUAAUCAAAAAGAAGAGAAUUACAAAUUAAAAUCCUAAAGUUAAGAUUUUCUAUUUGUCAAAGUAUAGCAUUAAGAGAGUGUAACCACUGGUGGUUGUAGCACCCAGCACUCAGGAGG